RNAcentral lists this transfer RNA (71 nucleotides) under bacterium. Its description in RNAcentral is "tRNA-Gly". It matches the Rfam family "tRNA". Rfam says of the family: Transfer RNA (tRNA) molecules are approximately 80 nucleotides in length. Their secondary structure includes four short double-helical elements and three loops (D, anti-codon, and T loops). Further hydrogen bonds mediate the characteristic L-shaped molecular structure. tRNAs have two regions of fundamental functional importance: the anti-codon, which is responsible for specific mRNA codon recognition, and the 3' end, to which the tRNAs corresponding amino acid is attached (by aminoacyl-tRNA synthetases). tRNAs cope with the degeneracy of the genetic code in two manners: having more than one tRNA (with a specific anti-codon) for a particular amino acid; and 'wobble' base-pairing, i.e. permitting non-standard base-pairing at the 3rd anti-codon position. The record is from RNAcentral.
GCGGGUAUGGUUCAAUGGUAGAACGCUAGCUUGCCAAGUUAGAGAUGGGAGUCCGAUUCUCCCUACCCGCA